GGACUACUGGGGUAUCUAAUCCUGUUUGCUCCCCACGCUUUCGCGCCUCAGCGUCAGUAUUUGGCCAGGUAGCUGCCUUCGCCAUUGACGUUCCUUCCGAUCUCUACGCAUUUCACCGCUACACCGGAAAUUCCGCUACCCUCUCCAAUACUCCAGUCGUGUCGUUUGCGAUGCACUUCCUAGGUUAAGCCCAGGGCUUUCACAUCACACUCACACAACCGCCUACGCGCCCUUUACGCCCAGUUAAUCCGAUUAACGCUCGCACCCUCUGUAUUACCGCGGCUGCUGGCAC
This 292-nucleotide ribosomal RNA is filed under the name uncultured bacterium. Its description in RNAcentral is "partial 16S ribosomal RNA". The record is from RNAcentral.